GGGGAAUAUUGGACAAUGGGCGCAAGCCUGAUCCAGCCAUGCCGCGUGAGUGAUGAAGGCCCUAGGGUUGUAAAGCUCUUUCAACGGUGAAGAUAAUGACGGUAACCGUAGAAGAAGCCCCGGCUAACUUCGUGCCAGCAGCCGCGGUAAUACAAGGGGGCUAGCGUUGUUCGGAAUUACUGGGCGUAAAGCGCACGUAGGCGGAUCGAUCAGUUAGGGGUGAAAUCCCGGGGCUCAACCCCGGAACUGCCUCUAAUACUGUCGAUCUCGAGUUCGAGAGAGGUGAGUGGAAUUCCGAGUGUAGAGGUGAAAUUCGUAGAUAUUCGGAGGAACACCAGUGGCGAAGGCGGCUCACUGGCUCGAUACUGACGCUGAGGUGCGAAAGCGUGGGGAGCAAAC
This 399-nucleotide ribosomal RNA is filed under the name uncultured bacterium. Its description in RNAcentral is "bacterial SSU rRNA". It matches the Rfam family "Bacterial small subunit ribosomal RNA", at positions 356 to 773 of the family's 1533-position model. The record is from RNAcentral.